CCUACGGGCGGCAGCAGUAGGGAAUCUUUCACAAUGGGCGAAAGCCUGAUGGAGCAACGCCGCGUGCAGGAUGAAGGCCUUCGGGUUGUAAACUGCUUUUAUAAGCGAGAAAUAUGAUGGUAACUUAUGAAUAAGGAUCGGCUAACUACGUGCCAGCAGCCGCGGUCAUACGUAGGAUCCGAGCAUUAUCCGGAGUGACUGGGGGUAAAGAGUUGCGUAGGUGGCAUAAUAAGUAGCUAGUGAAAUCUGGUGGCUCAACCAUUCAGACUAUUAGCUAAACUGUUAAGCUCGAGACCGUUAGGGGUAACUGGAAUUUCUAGUGUAGGAGUGAAAUCCGUAGAUAUUAGAAGGAACACCAAUAGCGUAGGCAGGUUGCUGGGACGGUUCUGACACUAAGGCACGAAAGCGUAGGGAGCAAACGGGAUUAGAUACCCCAGUAGUC
This 442-nucleotide ribosomal RNA is filed under the name uncultured bacterium. Its description in RNAcentral is "partial 16S ribosomal RNA". It matches the Rfam family "Bacterial small subunit ribosomal RNA", at positions 338 to 795 of the family's 1533-position model. The record is from RNAcentral.